CCUACAAGGCCUUUACUGACGCUAAAGCUCGAAGGUGCGGGUAUCGAACAGGAUUAGAUACCCUGGUAGUCCGCACGGUAAACGAUGGAUGCCCGCUGUUUGCGAUAUAGUGUAAGCGGCCAAGCGAAAGCGUUAAGCAUCCCACCUGGGGAGUACGCCGGCAACGGUGAAACUCAAAGGAAUUGACGGGGGCCCGCACAAGCGGAGGAACAUGUGGUUUAAUUCGAUGAUACGCGAGGAACCUUACCCGGGCUUGAACUGCCGGCGAACGAAACAGAGAUGUUGAGGCCCUUCGGGGCGCCGGUGGAGGUGCUGCAUGGUUGUCGUCAGCUCGUGCCGUGAGGUGUCGGCUUAAGUGCCAUAACGAGCGCAACCCUUUUCCUUAGUUGCCAUCAGGUAGAGCUGGGCACUCUGGGGACACUGCCACCGUAAGGUGUGAGGAAGGUGGGGAUGACGUCAAAUCAGCACGGCCCUUACGUCCGGGGCUACACACGUGUUACAAUGGGGAGCACAGAGAGUCAGGCGCCGGCAACGUUGCCUUAAUCAAGAAAUCUCCCCUCAGUUCGGAUUGGGGUCUGCAACCCGACCCCAUGAAGCUGGA
This 601-nucleotide ribosomal RNA is filed under the name uncultured bacterium. RNAcentral describes it as "bacterial SSU rRNA". It matches the Rfam family "Bacterial small subunit ribosomal RNA", at positions 725 to 1330 of the family's 1533-position model. The record is from RNAcentral.